AAGAAUGACCUAGUGCAUUUAUUGACAUUCUUAGAGGAGCUUGUGCACAGCACAAAUUAGUGCAACCUGCUUUCUCAGUGCACAGACUGAAGAAUGUGCACCUAGAGAUCAGACAGUGCUAAACACACUUCUCAGCACUCCAGAUUGGUUUUUAAGCUAACAAAUUAUAGGAUUUAUAAAAAUGUUUAUAAAAGAAAUUUUCCUUGGACCUGUACAAUGCCUAAGACACAGUUGGUAAAGACACAAAAUUCUUUAGCUGUUCAUAAUACUGAAACAAUACAGAGUAGUAUGAUGUAAACUUAGGCUACCCUACCCAAGAGAAAUAGAUUUUUUAAAAAAUCAAGUACUCUGAAAAUUGAAUAAAUAAUUUACAAGCCUGAAAACAGGCUUCACUGUAAAAGGUGACUGAGAUUGCUUCUUGCACAUUAAAACAACAUUAAGGUUUUUGAUCAUUUGCAAUGUUAAAAAGCUUAGAGGACCCAGCUAUCCAGUCAUUUUUGUGGGUUACUGUAAAACCCAAACACCUGUUUCUGCUUAUAACUUAAAA
Molecule: long non-coding RNA, 547 nt
Organism: Gavialis gangeticus (Gharial)
Lineage: Eukaryota; Metazoa; Chordata; Crocodylia; Gavialidae
Exons: 3
Source: RefSeq, a predicted model, not a curated record